GCCACCCUGGUGUAGUGGUCUGAACAUUAGACUAUGACUCUGGAGAUUGGGGUUCAAAUCCCUGCUCAGCCA
Molecule: non-coding RNA, 72 nt
Organism: Phrynosoma platyrhinos (Desert horned lizard)
Lineage: Eukaryota; Metazoa; Chordata; Lepidosauria; Squamata; Phrynosomatidae
Source: the annotation of a GenBank genome assembly